Molecule: ribosomal RNA, 492 nt
Filed under: uncultured bacterium
Lineage: Bacteria
Description: partial 16S ribosomal RNA
Rfam family: Bacterial small subunit ribosomal RNA
Source: RNAcentral
AGUGAACGCUGGCGGUAGGCCUAACACAUGCAAGUCGAACGGCAGCACAGUAAGAGCUUGCUCUUACGGGUGGCGAGUGGCGGACGGGUGAGGAAUACAUCGGAAUCUACUUUUUCGUGGGGGAUAACGUAGGGAAACUUACGCUAAUACCGCAUACGACCUACGGGUGAAAGCAGGGGAUCUUCGGACCUUGCGCGAUUGAAUGAGCCGAUGUCGGAUUAGCUAGUUGGCGGGGUAAAGGCCCACCAAGGCGACGAUCCGGAGCUGGUCUGAGAGGAUGAUCAGCCACACUGGAAAUGAGACACGGUCCAGACUCCUACGGGAGGCAGCAGUGGGGAAUAUUGGACAAUGGGCGCAAGCCUGAUCCAGCCAUACCGCGUGGGUGAAGAAGGCCUUCGGGUUGUAAAGCCCUUUUGUUGGGAAAGAAAAGCAGCAGGUUAAUACCCCGCUGUUCUGACGGUACCCAAAGAAUAAGCACCGGCUAACUUCGUG